UGUUGUUUUGUUUUUUGAGACAGAGUCUCACUCUGUCACCCAAGCUGGAGUGCAAUGGCACAAUCAUGGUUCACUGCAGCCCCGACUUACUGGACUCAAGUGAUCCUCCUGCCUUAGCCCCCCAGGUUGCUGGGACUACAGGGUCCUACUCUGUCACCCAGGCUGGGGUGCAGUGGCAUGAUCUCAGCUCACUGUGGCGUCAGCAUCCCAGGCUCAAAUGGUCCUCUCGCCUCAUCCUCCCAAGUAGCUGGGACCACAGAAACCCAAACUGGAGAACAUGUUCAGUGAAGCAACCAGGACUAAAUCAUUUGAAAUGCAUUAGCCAGCACGCGCUCCAAAUUAACUCAACAACAGUCACAUGUGUCUGGGGGAUUCUUCCCUGAAAGGUGGCAUGAGUUGAUUGGACCCCGGGAGUAACGCCGCACAGCAUGGCCCCAGAUCUACUACUAACCACGCACUGCGCAGGGAAGGCUGCUUGUUACUAAGGCCUCUAUGGAAUCAGGGGGAACGGCCAACAAACCAGUGCAGAGCCUGCAAAAGUCAGACAGAAGGAGGAUGAAACAUGAUUUGUUUUUUUCAAGAAGGAAAGACUCAGUUCAUGUGGAAGAGUUUCCUUAAGGAUAAAGGAAGUAUCCAGAACCCACUCUGAGAAAGGGAGAUGGCUUCAUGCUUUCCUCUCCCACUCUCACACCUGCAGGAAAAUCAGAUUUCCUCAUGGUCCUGUCAUUUUCUCAGGCCUGAGAGGAGGGACACUUCCCCCCACACAGCCCCAGUCUCAGUGGCCCU
Molecule: long non-coding RNA, 786 nt
Organism: Sapajus apella (tufted capuchin)
Lineage: Eukaryota; Metazoa; Chordata; Mammalia; Primates; Cebidae
Exons: 3
Source: RefSeq, a predicted model, not a curated record